This 835-nucleotide ribosomal RNA is filed under the name Paraburkholderia sp. RNAcentral's name for it is "bacterial SSU rRNA". It matches the Rfam family "Bacterial small subunit ribosomal RNA", at positions 45 to 877 of the family's 1533-position model. The record is from RNAcentral. Lineage: Bacteria; Pseudomonadati; Pseudomonadota; Betaproteobacteria; Burkholderiales; Burkholderiaceae.
UGCUUACACAUGCAAGUCGAACGGCAGCACGGGGGCAAUCCCUGGUGGCGAGUGGCGAACGGGUGAGUAAUACAUCGGAACGUGUCCUGUAGUGGGGGAUAGCCCGGCGAAAGCCGGAUUAAUACCGCAUACGCUCUACGGAGGAAAGGGGGGGAUCUUAGGACCUCCCGCUACAGGGGCGGCCGAUGGCAGAUUAGCUAGUUGGUGGGGUAAAGGCCUACCAAGGCGACGAUCUGUAGCUGGUCUGAGAGGACGACCAGCCACACUGGGACUGAGACACGGCCCAGACUCCUACGGGAGGCAGCAGUGGGGAAUUUUGGACAAUGGGGGAAACCCUGAUCCAGCAAUGCCGCGUGUGUGAAGAAGGCCUUCGGGUUGUAAAGCACUUUUGUCCGGAAAGAAAACCUCUGGGUUAAUACCCCGGGGGGAUGACGGUACCGGAAGAAUAAGCACCGGCUAACUACGUGCCAGCAGCCGCGGUAAUACGUAGGGUGCAAGCGUUAAUCGGAAUUACUGGGCGUAAAGCGUGCGCAGGCGGUCCGCUAAGACAGAUGUGAAAUCCCCGGGCUUAACCUGGGAACUGCAUUUGUGACUGGCGGGCUAGAGUAUGGCAGAGGGGGGUAGAAUUCCACGUGUAGCAGUGAAAUGCGUAGAGAUGUGGAGGAAUACCGAUGGCGAAGGCAGCCCCCUGGGCCAAUACUGACGCUCAUGCACGAAAGCGUGGGGAGCAAACAGGAUUAGAUACCCUGGUAGUCCACGCCCUAAACGAUGUCAACUAGUUGUCGGGUCUUCAUUGACUUGGUAACGUAGCUAACGCGUGAAGUGACCGCCUGGA